UGCGUAGGUGGCCUUUUAAGUUGGAUGUGAAAUACCCGGGCUUAACUUGGGGGUGGCAUCUAAUACUGGAGGGCUAGAGUGCAGGAGAGGAAAGCGGAAUUCCUAGUGUAGCGGUGAGAUGCGUAGAUAUUAGGAGGAACACCAGUGGCGAAGGCGGCUUUCUGGACUGUAACUGACACUGAGGCACGAAAGCGUGGGGAGCAAACA
RNAcentral lists this ribosomal RNA (207 nucleotides) under uncultured Bacillota bacterium. RNAcentral describes it as "uncultured Firmicutes bacterium partial 16S ribosomal RNA". It matches the Rfam family "Bacterial small subunit ribosomal RNA", at positions 568 to 774 of the family's 1533-position model. The record is from RNAcentral. Lineage: Bacteria; Bacillati; Bacillota.